UAUCAGAGAUGAAGUGAGGUGAAGGC
This 26-nucleotide non-coding RNA is filed under the name Homo sapiens (human). The record is from RNAcentral. Lineage: Eukaryota; Metazoa; Chordata; Mammalia; Primates; Hominidae.